UACGUAGGGGGCAAGCGUUGUCCGGAUUUAUUGGGCGUAAAGCGCUCGCAGGUGGUCCGAUGCGUCGUGCGUGAAAGACCCCGGCUCAACUGGGGAGGGUCGUGCGAUACGGGCGGACUGGAGGCCAGUAGGGGGAUGCGGAAUUCCGGGUGUAGUGGUGGAAUGCGUAGAGAUCCGGAGGAACACCAGCGGCGAAGGCGGCAUCCUGGACUGGUCCUGACACUCAUGAGCGAAAGCGUGGGGAGCGAUCCGG
RNAcentral lists this ribosomal RNA (253 nucleotides) under uncultured bacterium. RNAcentral's name for it is "partial 16S ribosomal RNA". It matches the Rfam family "Bacterial small subunit ribosomal RNA", at positions 524 to 776 of the family's 1533-position model. The record is from RNAcentral.